UUAGAAUAUAACCAAAAGGUUAAGGUAAUGAAUUUUGAUUUCAUUAAUAUAGGUUCAAAUCCUAUUAUUCUAAA
RNAcentral lists this transfer RNA (74 nucleotides) under Plasmodium ovale (malaria parasite P. ovale). RNAcentral's name for it is "Gln transfer RNA (ttg)". It matches the Rfam family "tRNA". From Rfam's summary of the family: Transfer RNA (tRNA) molecules are approximately 80 nucleotides in length. Their secondary structure includes four short double-helical elements and three loops (D, anti-codon, and T loops). The record is from RNAcentral. Lineage: Eukaryota; Apicomplexa; Aconoidasida; Haemosporida; Plasmodiidae.